AGAGCAUGAACGGGGCAGGGGCAGAGAGAGAGAGGGAGACAGAAUCGGAAGCAGGCUCCAGGCUCAGAGCCUGACGCGGGGCUCUAACUCACGGACCGCAAGAUCGUGACCUGAACUGAAGUCGGACGCUCAACCGACUGAGCCACCCAGGCGCCCCUGAUACACUUUAAAAGGGUGCAUUUUAUUAAAGACGUGUCAAGUAAGAAGUUGCUGCGGCCAAGGUCAAAGAGGUUGCUACCUGUGUUCUCCUGUAAGGAUUUUGAUGGUUUCCUGUCUCACAUUUAGGUCUUUCAGCCACUUUGAAUUUAUUUUUGUUAAGAGUACACUUAUCUUGAUAAGCAAUGACUAAUACAUGGAAUUCUUAAAUCACUAUACUGUACACCUGAAAGGAAUAUAAAAUUGUAUGUUAGCUAUACUGGAAUUGAGAUAAAAUGAAAUAAAUUCCUGUUCUCCUAUUUGCACCUUGAA
This is a long non-coding RNA of Neofelis nebulosa (Clouded leopard), 468 nucleotides long. RefSeq lists it as uncharacterized. The record is from RefSeq and is a predicted model, not a curated record. The transcript has 2 exons. Lineage: Eukaryota; Metazoa; Chordata; Mammalia; Carnivora; Felidae.